This is a long non-coding RNA of Dinoponera quadriceps, 3774 nucleotides long. RefSeq lists it as uncharacterized. Lineage: Eukaryota; Metazoa; Arthropoda; Insecta; Hymenoptera; Formicidae. The record is from RefSeq and is a predicted model, not a curated record. The transcript is spliced from 8 exons.
UUUAACGAACGUCCUGUCUCGGUCGCAGCUAGUUUUGUCGGUUUACGCCGGCGGCGAUUAAUCUGAUCAGAGUGAAAGUGAGAGGGGUCGCGCGGAAAAAUGACGUGUAUCAGAUUCGACGGCGUGCAUGGGACGCAAUAAUCGUGUCGUAAGGUCCAGCCAGUGCCUCUGUAUAUACGACGUACAAUGAUCGGAGCGACGCAAAGGUUAUGAAACGGCGGCAGCGUGAAUCUCUUUUACAUCAUCCCUCAAGGCCAUGGUCGCUUCUCUACGAGGGUGAAGACGCGCGCGCUCCGAAUUUCCUUGAAUGAUCGCACAAGAAUCGAUGGUCGUAACGAUCGAGAAAUCGAUUUUAAAUAAUACUUUUUGCCCGCUUAUCGAUCGGUUUCUCCGAUUUCGCUGGCAGGAAAAUCGCAGAAACUUUCUCCGCCAAUAAGAUCGUUCGAACGAUUAUUAUCCUCGGAGUGCUUUCAUUUCGUAGCAAAAAUGAAACACACACGAUGAUGUACGCACCGUAUGGCAACAGAAGCAUUGCAACUGCAAGCGACGUACCGUAGCCGUUUUUUUGCUCCAGUUGCGCAAAUAUACAGCGGCAAUGAUUUCAAAUAUGCAAAUAGAAAAUAGCUCGAAAGUAGUAAUCAAACGUUGUAUAUAUCAAUCCUCUUAUUACGGAUUGUAUAAGCGGAGGAGAAAAUCGCGAUUAAAAUUCGAAGAACAUAUAUAUAUAUAAUGGUUCAUGUUGCUUAUAUUAUAUGUAAUCAUUCAUUUAUAGAAAUCACCGUAACAUUCAUCAAAAAGGCGUUCUCCCUAUGGCGGCCGGCUUUCCGCCUACCGUGAAAAGAAAGCAAUAUUGCAUAAUAGGUAAAGAGAUAGUUGUCCAGCGACUAACGGAGGUGGUUGUAUAGUAUAACAUGCGUAACUCGCACGAGUCAACCGGUCAGCUUAAGGAAAUCUGGAGCAGCCGCCAUCGACAUUUUCGCAGAAUUCCGCGCGUGCGAGACACGCCGGUCAAUGUGACUUCUGGCGUUUACGUCGCUAUCAACAAAUCUCAAUUGAUUCUGCAACAGAUAGAAAAAAGCAUUGGAAUAUAGUCUCUCUCAUUAAGGACCUCUCUCUCUGACCGGAUAAAAAAAUCAGAAAGGAGCGGAACGGCUAUUGUACGUUGCGUAUCAAGGUUAUCAACUUCAUAGGAACAAACGAUGAUCGAUCGGACACAAUACGACGACGACAGUAGGACGCCGGAGGUCAUUCGGUCCUUCAGGGUGCACUUCACUGAUGUAGAAGUUUCUCACUGUUCGAUGUUUUAAGGCCCACUUACCUGUCAGUGACCAAGGUAGCGGGACGAUCGACAAGGACAAGUAAAAUACCGUAGGGGAUCGAUGGCAACACGCGCGUGCUUUAUCUUGGCCGGCCGACAUGUCACUCUCUUAUAUAGCGUGUCCCGCUGAAAGUUGCCUCCACCAGAUGAAGCGGAUUCGGUCCUCCUCGAGGUAGUGGGGGACCUCCUUGCGACUGCACCGCCACGCGCUCCUUCUGCAGGAUGCACCUGUUUGAAAAUCCUCGGGGAGAAGCGCGUGAAACUCACUGAGAAGAUAAGAUCCUAAUAUGACAAUGUAACGUAAGAGAAACAUGGCAUAGAAAACGCUGAUAUCAUUAAUGUUAGAUUAUAACAAUUGAAAUGGUGCGAUUGAAACCGUUUUCUCGAAAAACUGUCAACGCUUUAAUCUAACAAUUCAGCUUAAUGUUUUAAGAUGGAUGUCACGCAAAAUAAACUGUUCUCUUCUCGAUAUACUGACAUUGAAGAAUAAACGGCAUUGAAAGAUGGUAGGAAUCUCGCGAGUAAGUCUUGUUCAAGUUCAAAAGAAAAAGAAAUAAAAGUGCGCGAUAAAUGACGCACGGCGAGGCUCGAGAAUUUCGCUUUGCUUUAUUCCGGAAGGCGUAAUUGCCGGUCGCAAUUGCCGGGGAAGUAGGAUGUACUUCGAUGAAUCUCGCGGCAUAUAGAAUGAAGAUCGCGCGCCGAUUAAAGGCAAAACACGAAUGGACGGAAUGUAUAAUGUAGCGUGAAGGGCAAUUAAUUCGAUCUGUCGAUCAUAUUCCGGAAGAUCAGUUCGCUGAUCUACUGGCAGAAAGCGGAUCCCGCACUUUCCACUAUUCAACCAUCAGAUACAGUCUUCCUCUUGUUCGUCGUUUUCGAUGUUUCGAAAGGAAGAACGUAAUAUUCCGCUAUGCGAUCUCGCGUGACAUCCCCGUGCGUAAGGAACAUCCUCAAAGGCGCACCAAAUAUGGGAAGCUAAAAAUGAUAACUGAAUGGAUGUUUCUGGAUCGGUUGACGUAAUAAUCGCGCGUUCGAACGUAAAGAAAAUUCCAAGAGCUCGUAUUUACGAGAUUGUAAAUCGAGCGGGCGAGCCGACAGUUAGCCGAGAAUAACAAACGGAGAUAAUCACGUCCUGAUAUCGGAAUACUUGAACAAUGACAUAACUAGGAUUAAAUAAGGCGGUGGAGCGAUAAUAUAAAUCUCUCUUUUAAAGCAAUUGUAAAAUACGGAGCAAUGAUUCACAAAAUAACGGCCAAUAACGUUUCCACGAAAUACCCGACAUUAUCAUUCCGCUUGAGGAACGAUCCCGAUAGCGAAGCGGACAUUCGGACUGCGCUGCACGCGGAGACGCGUGCAAGAAACACUUUCACCGAGCGUUUGGGCCCGAUGGAGAAAGUUCCUUCAACCUGUGUUACGCCCUUGUUAGCCGGAAACUCGGCUGGAAAAUUGGCAGGGAGGAUAAAUGGGAGGUUGGACCAAAAAGUUCUCAAGAUUGUUUGGACCGCGGUCUGAGAUUCGCGUGUCUCGAGUUCUGAAACGCGCAAACAAAACCUGUUAUUUGCAGAGCGCGUAAAUUACCUGACCUUUCGAGUUUGAGGAAUGCAUGAGAAUUUUAUAUCUAAUUACGUAUUAGAAUUAAUAAUGAGCUUGUCGAAUACAUAUUCUUCAUAUAGUAGCACUUUACAAUUUGUAAAGAAUGAACACAACGUUUGCAUGUCUCAAACGCGAAGAGUAAAUUGCCAAUAGAUAUAUUUUUUCGAGAUCGUCGACACGAGAAGAGUCAAGUUCGUUAUGUGUCGAUAUGCUACAACGCAGAGAAGAAUGAAGUAAUCAACUUUGAGGUCUCGGUCGAUAGCCAAGCUCGUCCUUGAUCCUCCUUCUGUCUGGCAUUUAACUAUGUAGUUGCAUAAUUAUUCGGAACGAAAAGUGAAAAGAUCGAGAAAGGAGAAGCGUAGUUUUGCGAAGAGAGGAAAUGGUAGGAAAUCGAAAUAUCGCGAUUUAUAUUAAUUUAUAUCGGAACAAUCCUAAGAAAAUGAUUUUCGAUCUAUGCAAGUAAUAAUCGCGUAACGAUCGCUAACAACGUUAUAGCAGUAGGCGUUUCAGCAAAACGUAGAAUUUGAUUUCAAAUCGAGAACGAGUUGUUGGAAAACGCGGAAAUCUGGUGUGUAGCACGCGACGUUUUUCUCGCUGGAUAUAAACCGAUUUACAUGUACAAAGUACGUUGCGUAAACAACGCAUACCAUUAAGAUACGUAGAAAUACCAGUGAACGAGCCUCGAGUAUCGAGAAACGCGUAUACGAAGUGGUUUCGAAACAAUCUUUGCUCACUGAUCGACAAUUUGCUUCGUAAUAGAAAAUGUGAGCUAAAUACGAUUAACAUCUCAUAAACGCUGUUGGUGUGUCGGAAAAAAAACUGAUAUAUAAAUGCAACAUCAGCAAAAUAAAUCACAAAACUAUAAA